CAGUAGCCGCGGUAAUACGUAGGGUGCGAGCGUUAAUCGGAAUUACUGGGCGUAAAGCGGGCGCAGACGGUUACUUAAGCAGGAUGUGAAACCCCCGGGCUCAACCUGGGAACUGCGUUCUGAACUGGGUGACUAGAGUGUGUCAGAGGGAGGUAGAAUUCCACGCGUAGCAGUGAAAUGCGUAGAGAUGUGGAGGAAUACCGAUGGCGAAGGCAGCCUCCUGGGAUAACACUGACGUUCAUGCCCGAAAGCGUGGGUAGCAAACAGGAUUAGAUACCCCGGUAGUCCCUGUCUCUUAUAC
Molecule: ribosomal RNA, 301 nt
Filed under: uncultured bacterium
Lineage: Bacteria
Description: partial 16S ribosomal RNA
Rfam family: Bacterial small subunit ribosomal RNA
Source: RNAcentral